RNAcentral lists this ribosomal RNA (383 nucleotides) under uncultured eukaryote. Its description in RNAcentral is "partial 18S ribosomal RNA". It matches the Rfam family "Eukaryotic small subunit ribosomal RNA", at positions 592 to 976 of the family's 1831-position model. The record is from RNAcentral.
CAAUAGCGUAUAUUAAAGUUGUUGCAGUUAAAAAGCUCGUAGUUGGAUUUCUGGUAGGAGUGACCGUUCCGAACUUGAUUGUUCGUGUAUUGUGUUUUCUCCAGCCAUCCUUGUGGAGACCUUUUCUUGCAUUAAUUUGUAGGGAUUGGGACCCGCAUCGUUUACUGUGAAAAAAUUAGAGUGUUUAAAGCAGGCAAUCGCUUGAAUACAUUAGCAUGGAAUAAUAAGAUAGGACUUUGGUACUAUUUUGUUGGUUUGCAUACCAAAUUAAUGAUCAACAGGAACAGUUUGAGGAUAUUCGUAUGAACAUGUCAGAGGUGAAAUUCUUGGAUUUUGAUCAGACGAACUACUGCGAAAGCAUUUAGCAAGGAUGUUUUCAUUAA